Molecule: long non-coding RNA, 1197 nt
Organism: Xenopus laevis (African clawed frog)
Lineage: Eukaryota; Metazoa; Chordata; Amphibia; Anura; Pipidae
Exons: 4
Source: RefSeq, a predicted model, not a curated record
UAUCGUCCCUCUUUUUAUUUUUAAAAUGUUGGGAGGUAUGGACUCCGAGAGCUAAAUUGUGCGGGUACAUGACAGACCCACUGGAAUCAUGAGCCAAAACUGUAGGCGCUGCCCAUGCCCCGGCUGUGUCUCUUAUCGUAUCAAAUACAUCCGUCAUAUGGAUCUGCUUGUGACCUUUUUGAACGUGUCUGGGUAUUUGUGCACAGUCCCUAACUCUGGAGUUCUCGGCCCCGCCUCUCCCCGCUAUUCAGCCAAUCGCUGCAGGCUUCCUGUAUGAAGGCAUUUCUGUGUGCAGCGUGUGGUGCCGAGAGAAAACAAACAGAACAAGAUAAACUUGCUGCAAUCACGGAGAGGCUCAAGGAAUGUUCUCCAAGAUCUGCUCCAGAAGUUGUUAGAGAUGUCAUGGGGUCAAGUGCAAGGGCUGGCAGUGGAGAGUUCCAUAUAUAUCAGCAUCCAACUGCUGCAUGAAGAGAGAAUGAAGAGAAACAGAUGCUGAAUAGUGAAGAUAAACUUGAUUAUUUCAGAAAUGAAAGAUGUACAGAUCCUGAAAAUUCCACAGAAUCCAGUGAUAAAACAGAUUUAGAAGACCAAUGACUUCAAUGUAGAACAAUGUAUUCUCCAGCUUCAACACCAUGGACUUUACAUUUUCCAUUAAAGGCGUUAUUUUUCGAUGUGUUCAUAUUUCGUGCCUUCAGUGUUACGUUGACUUCUUGUUUUUGAAUCUGAGCACAACAUGGAACAGUACGUAAUUAUUAUUAUCUUUUUUAAAUUUUGUAAUGAUGAAAACAAAGGACAGAGUGUCAUCAAACUAAUACAAAGUUUUACUGUAAGUAAAGAUGUGUCUGAUUCUCAGGAGCAUUGGGCACAGAUACAUCACUGUAUGCUCAGCCUUAAGCAUUUUAGCAGCAGAUUAUAAACAUUAAAAAGAACAGAAAGAAAAGAAACCCUUUCAAAGUGAUAACACUUUAUCAUCAUUUAUUUUGAAAUCAUCUGUAAGUUAUGGAGAGCAUUACGAAAAGGUUAAAGAAUAAAAAUACAAUCAGAGAGCCCUGAUUACAUACAAUCUAAUAUCACUUGAUAUAUUAAAGAACCAAUAAUGCCAUGAAGUGAUUUUUUAUAACAUUCAAAGUUUGUAUACGUUUAGUCAGCACCUAAAAAUAAACUAUGUCCUGCCAACAAAUGUUACUUUAUAAUUUA